This 384-nucleotide RNase P RNA is filed under the name Bacillus coahuilensis p1.1.43. RNAcentral describes it as "Bacterial RNase P class B". It matches the Rfam family "Bacterial RNase P class B". From Rfam's summary of the family: Ribonuclease P (RNase P) is a ubiquitous endoribonuclease, found in archaea, bacteria and eukarya as well as chloroplasts and mitochondria. The record is from Rfam by way of RNAcentral. Lineage: Bacteria; Bacillati; Bacillota; Bacilli; Caryophanales; Bacillaceae.
ACGUUUGGGUAAUCGCUGCAGUGUAUGCUGUAGAGGAAAGUCCAUGCUCGCACGGUGCUGAGAUGCCCGUAGUGUUCGUGCCUAGCGAAUAAAUAAGCUAGGGCAGUUUGGAUUCGUCUGAACUGACGGCAAGGAACGCACCUAAGUCUUCGGAUAUGGUGUUACUACUUUGAAAGUGCCACAGUGACGAAGUCCUAUCAGAAAUGAUAGGAGUGGAACGAGGUAAACCCCACGAGUGAGAAACCCAAAUGAUGGUAGGGGCACCUUCCUGGAGGAAUUGAACAAAAGGAAGGACAGGAAAAUUUCCUGUAGAUAGAUGAUUACCACCUGAGUACGAGGCGUGCGCCGAUUGCAGUACAAAGGAACAAAACAUGGCUUACAAAA